Long non-coding RNA from Bombyx mandarina (wild silkworm), 222 nucleotides. Lineage: Eukaryota; Metazoa; Arthropoda; Insecta; Lepidoptera; Bombycidae. The record is from RefSeq and is a predicted model, not a curated record.
CCAAAAUGGCCGUUUUGUAGGCGUCCACAGCUUCUUCAGUUUUACUGCAUUACAGCCACAUCUUGUUAUGCCCUAGAAGAAGGUGAAGAAGGUAAAUAAGGUUUUCCGAUGUCUGAGGGCAGCAGCGACCACUGUCUGUCGCCAGUCGCUUGCCGGACGCAUGCAUUUUAUCUAUUGAUGCAACAACAAAAAGCUUAAAACAAUAAACGCUGUUUUUUUGGA